RNAcentral lists this ribosomal RNA (460 nucleotides) under uncultured bacterium. RNAcentral's name for it is "partial 16S ribosomal RNA". It matches the Rfam family "Bacterial small subunit ribosomal RNA", at positions 338 to 795 of the family's 1533-position model. The record is from RNAcentral.
CCUACGGGAGACAGCAGUGAGGAAUAUUGGUCAAUGGACGAGAGUCUGAACCAGCCAAGUAGCGUGAAGGAUGACUGCCCUAUGGGUUGUAACCUUCUUUUAUAUGGGAAUAAAACGUUCCACGUGUGUGAUUUUGUAUGUACCAUCUGAAUAAGGAUCGCUUAACUCCGUGCCAGCACCCGCGGUAAUCCGGGGGAUCCGAGCUUUAUCCGGAUUUAUUGGGUUUAAGGGUGCCGUAGGUGGAGUGUUAAGUCAGGUGUAAAAGUUUGCGGCUCAACCGUAAAAUUGCAGUUGAAACUGGCAGUCUUGAGUACAGUAGAGGUGGGCGGAAUGCGUGGUGUAGCGGUGAAAUGCUUAGAUAUCACGAAGAACUCCGAUUGCGAAGGCAGUUCACUGGACUGCAACUGACACUGAGGCUCGAAAGUGUGGGUAUCAAACAGGAUUAGAUACCCCUGUAGUC